ACAGGGGGAUAACACUUAGAAAUAGGUGCUAAUACCGCAUAAGCGCACGGUUCCGCAUGGAACAGUGUGAAAAACUCCGGUGGUAUACGAUGGAUCCGCGUCUGAUUAGCCAGUUGGCGGGGUAACGGCCCACCAAAGCGACGAUCAGUAGCCGGCCUGAGAGGGUGAACGGCCACAUUGGGACUGAGACACGGCCCAAACUCCUACGGGAGGCAGCAGUGGGGAAUAUUGCACAAUGGGGGAAACCCUGAUGCAGCGACGCCGCGUGAGUGAAGAAGUAUCUCGGUACGUAAAGCUCUAUCAGCAGGGAAGAAAAUGACGGUACCUGAUUAAGAAGCCCCGGCUAACUACGUGCCAGCAGCCGCGGUAAUACGUAGGGGGCAAGCGUUAUCCGGAUUUACUGGGUGUAAAGGGAGCGUAGACGGCAGCGCAAGUCUGGAGUGAAAUGCCGGGGCCCAACCCCGGAACUGCUUUGGAAACUGUGCAGCUCGAGUGCAGGGGAGGUAAGCGGAAUUCCUAGUGUAGCGGUGAAAUGCGUAGAUAUUAGGAGGAACACCAGUGGCGAAGGCGGCUUACUGGACUGUAACUGACGUUGAGGCUCGAAAGCGUGGGGAGCAAACAGGAUUAGAUACCCUGGUAGUCCACGCCGUAAACGAUGAUUACUAGGUGUCGGGGGGCCAAGGCCCUCCGGUGCCGGCGCAA
RNAcentral lists this ribosomal RNA (702 nucleotides) under uncultured bacterium. RNAcentral describes it as "bacterial SSU rRNA". It matches the Rfam family "Bacterial small subunit ribosomal RNA", at positions 135 to 854 of the family's 1533-position model. The record is from RNAcentral.